UACAUGGGGUGCAACCGUUGCUCGGAAUUAUUGGGCGUAAAGCGCACGUAGGCGGUCGCUUAAGUCGGAUGUGAAAGCCCUCGGCUCAACUGAGGAAGUGCAUCCGAAACUGAGUGGCUAGAGUAUGGUAGAGGGUCGCGGAAUUCCCGGUGUAGAGGUGAAAUUCGUAGAUAUUGGGAGGAACACCAGUGGCGAAGGCGGCUCACUGGACCGGUACUGACGCUGAUGCGCGAAAGCGUGGGGAGCAAACGGG
RNAcentral lists this ribosomal RNA (253 nucleotides) under uncultured bacterium. Its description in RNAcentral is "partial 16S ribosomal RNA". It matches the Rfam family "Bacterial small subunit ribosomal RNA", at positions 524 to 776 of the family's 1533-position model. The record is from RNAcentral.